UUGUGACAUGUUUAGAAUCAGUUGGAAUGCCAAAGCCUAAAAAACCAGAACAUAUGCUCCAACUUCUGCAGCAUUUCAUCAAACACUCAAACCAAAUCAAACAAAUCCAUUCCCUUCUCACAACCAGUGGCCGUCUCCUCCUUACCUCUCAAUGGAUCAACACACUUCUUUACAACACUCUCAUCAGAGCUUACCUCAACAUUUCCCAGCCUCAAACAACUCUCAUCCUUUUCACACACAUGCUUUUUCAUCAAGCUCAACCAAAUAGCCAUACUUUCCCUUCCCUUAUCAAAGCAGCCUCAUCUUUCCCGCCCCAUUUGGCUUCCCAUAUAGGCAAACCCCUUCACUGUCAAGUCUUGAGAAGAGGGGUGUUGAGUGACCCGUACGUGUGUACAUCUUUUAUUGGGCUGUAUUCUCAGGCGUGUGAACUCGGGAGUGCGCACAAGAUGUUUGAUGAAAUUCCUGAACCAUGUGUUGUUUCGUAUAAUGCGAUCCUUGAUGCUUGUGGGAAAAAUGGGGAUAUGAGUUUGGGUUUUUUGAUGUUUUCUCGCAUGCCUUACAGAGAUGUUUAUUCAUGGACUAGUAUGAUUCAUGGGUACAUGAAGAAUGGGUGCUCUGAAGUUGCUGUUAAGUUUUUCCGGAGAAUGAUCCUUCAUGAGGAUGUGAAGUGUGGUUUAUUGAAGCCAAAUGAGGCUACUUUUGUUAGUGUUCUUUCUUCUUGCACGUUCUUGGAUGUUGGUGUAGCGUUAUAUUUAGGGAGGCAAGUACAUGCUUACAUGGUAAAGAAUGAGGAGUUGAGUGUCUUCAUGACGACCGCGUUGAUUGCAUUUUAUGGGAAGAUGGGUUGUUUCGUAUAUGCUUCAAAGGUGUUCGAUGCAAUGGUUAUCAAGCAGGUUUGUGCUUGGAAUGCUAUGAUUUCUUCCCUAGCUUUGAAUGGUAGAGAGAAGCAGGCAUUAAUGAUGUAUGAGAAGAUGAGAGCAAGGGGGCUGCAACCAAAUGCGAUUACAUUCGUGGCAGUUCUAUCAGCUUGUGCGCGUGCCAAGCUUGUUGAUUUGGGGUUUAAAUUGUUUGAAACAAUGUCGCAUGAAUUUGGAAUUGUACCUAAGAUGGAACAUUAUGGUUGUGUGGUUGAUCUCUUAGGGAGAGCUGGGCUACUGCAGGAAGCAUACGACUUUAUAAAAAAGAUGCCUUUUGAAGCUGAUGCCACUGUCUUGGGUGCGCUGAUGGGUGCUUGUAGACUUCAUGGAGCCAUUGAGCUGGGAAAUGAAGUAGCACAACUAUUGCUUAAGUCGCAACCGAAUCAUUCUGGGCGAUAUGUGCAACUCUCAAGCAUUUAUGCUGGGGCAGAGAAGUGGGAUCAUGCUGCUGCCUUGAGAAAAGCAAUGUUAGAUGCUGGAAUACACAAGGUUCCAGCCCACAGUUUUAUCUAGUAGAGCUGAUAACUGCAGCAGUUUAUAUUUGCUAAAUUUUUUCGAUGAGCCUUGCUUGGUGAUGAAAUCUUUGCUCAUCAGAAUCACCUAAAAGGAUCCUGCAUAUGGGUUUUGCACAGAGAUUGAAGCACUGGGAAAGAAAGCAGAAGUCACAGCAGAUAAAAGUACAUUCACUUUUGAGGUUGAAUUUAUCUUUGAGCUCAAGCUAACUUAGAUUGACUGAUCAAGGAAAAGAUAGAUUUUUGUGAAAGUGCACGGCAAACAUGGUUCCAAAUCUGCUUGACGAGUUUUUUGCAGGUAUCAUUAUGCAAGUUGUUGUUUCAAGCUACUGUUUUUGGACAGGGGAUUCUUAGUAGCUUGAAAAGAAUAGGUGUCAAUGCCAUUCCUGCUAUUGAAGAAGUCAACAU
This is a non-coding RNA of Nicotiana tabacum (common tobacco), 1837 nucleotides long. Lineage: Eukaryota; Viridiplantae; Streptophyta; Magnoliopsida; Solanales; Solanaceae. The record is from RefSeq and is a predicted model, not a curated record.